UAAUACCAGGGAGAAAUUUGCAGGA
RNAcentral lists this non-coding RNA (25 nucleotides) under Mus musculus (house mouse). Lineage: Eukaryota; Metazoa; Chordata; Mammalia; Rodentia; Muridae. The record is from RNAcentral.